This 1136-nucleotide long non-coding RNA is filed under the name Sinocyclocheilus anshuiensis. RNAcentral's name for it is "lncRNA (ENSSANG00000012752.1)". The record is from RNAcentral. Lineage: Eukaryota; Metazoa; Chordata; Actinopteri; Cypriniformes; Cyprinidae.
GGCUUAGUGUGCGGCACUGUGUACAACUUUACAGUGCAGGCAACGGAUGGCUUCUGCAACAGUUCCUUGAGUGAACCUCAAACUAAGGGAGCAGCUCCAUGUCCUCCAGCUGGAUUGAGGGUUGUCCCUCGUACAGUAGUAAAUGAUACUCAGAUCUUGAGGGCGUCUUGGUCUACUGUGAAUUGUCCUAAUUCUGAAUACCUCCUGGCACUCACGGGCAGCAUUCAGGGCAACAACCAAGCACUCUUUGACCUCACCUCCUAUUGGACAAGACGCACAUUCUUCGAAGUGCCUCUCCCUUGUGGCUCCACCUACAGUGCAACCAUCAGUGCGAGGAACUCUGCCGCCACAAGUGACAAGUCUGCUGCUGUCACUGGAAGCACAGUGCCUUGUGCCCCUCUAAAUGUGAUGUUCUCUGCAUCAUCGGCGGUAGUGGCAUGGAACGAGUCACUAUUUGCUACAAACUACACUGUGUAUGGGGUUACUUCCUCUGGAAGGACGAAACUCUGCAUGAGCUCACAGCUCCUCUGCUCUGUCACCAAUUUCAGCAGUGGUCACAUUGUCGUAACUGCCCAAAACACUGCCGGCGAGAGUGAAGACUCGGUGCCUGUUGUAGUGACAGCAGGUCGCAGGAGGAGGUGAGACCUGGCACAAAGUGAGAAAGGCCUGACCAACCCUGAGUAAAUGCUUGCAUCUCAUCGCACUCAAACUCUUGCCUCUGAGAACUCCUGCACUUAUCUAAGAAUUCUUGAAACUCUGUGAUAUUUAACUUUUGCAUGUUACAUAUAUUCUGGUUCAAGGUUCACUUUUUUUUUAAAACAACAUUUAAGGGUGGGAUAGAUUGACUGGGUAAAAGAUUAACAUUAUUUCUUUUAAAAUGUUUUCCAAAAUCUGUUUUCUGGCUGUGGGAUUUACUUUCAUGCAAUGCCAAAUAUUUUAAAAAAAGGUCUUAUAUAAAUAUGUAUUCCUGUUUUUGUAUACGAGUAGUUAUAUUAAAUACAAAGAGCAUUUCUCCAUGUGAUCAGUCUUAUAAAUAACCUGUAAAGCACAUGUAAAAUAAAUGAACCAUACACAAAACACCUGUUCUUAUAAAAUUAAUGUUCUUACAAGGAACUGACAAGGGCACAACAGUGACC